RNAcentral lists this transfer RNA (88 nucleotides) under Microbulbifer hydrolyticus. RNAcentral describes it as "tRNA-Ser". It matches the Rfam family "tRNA". Rfam says of the family: Transfer RNA (tRNA) molecules are approximately 80 nucleotides in length. Lineage: Bacteria; Pseudomonadati; Pseudomonadota; Gammaproteobacteria; Cellvibrionales; Microbulbiferaceae. RNAcentral also lists the same sequence under 42 other names. The record is from RNAcentral.
GGUGGGGUGGCUGAGUGGUCGAAAGCGGCGGUCUUGAAAACCGUUGACUGUAACAGGUCCCAGGGUUCGAAUCCCUGCCCCACCGCCA